This 496-nucleotide ribosomal RNA is filed under the name uncultured bacterium. RNAcentral's name for it is "partial 16S ribosomal RNA". It matches the Rfam family "Bacterial small subunit ribosomal RNA", at positions 28 to 506 of the family's 1533-position model. The record is from RNAcentral.
GAUGAACGCUGGCGGCGUGCCUAAUACAUGCAAGUCGAGCGAACAGACGAGGAGCUUGCUCCUCUGACGUUAGCGGCGGACGGGUGAGUAACACGUGGAUAACCUACCUAUAAGACUGGGAUAACUUCGGGAAACCGGAGCUAAUACCGGAUAAUAUAUUGAACCGCAUGGUUCAAUAGUGAAAGACGGUUUUGCUGUCACUUAUAGAUGGAUCCGCGCCGCAUUAGCUAGUUGGUAAGGUAACGGCUUACCAAGGCAACGAUGCGUAGCCGACCUGAGAGGGUGAUCGGCCACACUGGAACUGAGACACGGUCCAGACUCCUACGGGAGGCAGCAGUAGGGAAUCUUCCGCAAUGGGCGAAAGCCUGACGGAGCAACGCCGCGUGAGUGAUGAAGGUCUUCGGAUCGUAAAACUCUGUUAUUAGGGAAGAACAAAUGUGUAAGUAACUAUGCACGUCUUGACGGUACCUAAUCAGAAAGCCACGGCUAAUUACGU